RNAcentral lists this ribosomal RNA (259 nucleotides) under uncultured bacterium. RNAcentral describes it as "partial 16S ribosomal RNA". It matches the Rfam family "Bacterial small subunit ribosomal RNA", at positions 795 to 1052 of the family's 1533-position model. The record is from RNAcentral.
CCAUGCCGUAAACGAUGAUUACUAAGCGUCGGGGGUCGAACCUCGGCACUCAAGCUAACGCGAUAAGUAAUCCGCCUGGGGAGUACGUACGCAAGUAUGAAACUCAAAGGAAUUGACGGGGACCCGCACAAGUGGUGGAGCAUGUGGUUUAAUUCGACGCAACGCGAGGAACCUUACCAGCGUUUGACAUCCUAGAAACUGGGCAGAGAUGCGCAGGUGCUCUUUCGGGAGAAUCUAGUGACAGGUGGUGCAUGGCUGU